UAAGGGUAGAGAAAACAUUUUCAGUAGAGAAAACAAUGAAGUUCUUAAUUAUGGGAACAAGAAAGACAUGAGGCUCAAAGAGAGG
Molecule: long non-coding RNA, 85 nt
Organism: Mustela erminea (ermine)
Lineage: Eukaryota; Metazoa; Chordata; Mammalia; Carnivora; Mustelidae
Exons: 3
Source: RefSeq, a predicted model, not a curated record